GAGGGCCGCUCCCCCCGGACCCGCCCCUCCCCUCCCGGGUCUGUCUCGGCCAAUCCGAAUCUCCCGCCAAGAGCCACGAGCCAAUCAGAGGCUGGCACCGCCCUCCCCGCGAAGUUGGGCAAAAAGUUAAGAAACUUUUUUUUUUUUGACUCUACUCAAGUCAAGGAGGGAUUUGCCGGGUACCUGUGAGCGGGCUAUGAUCGCGACCCAGUCUCUUCUUCCCUGCCCUCCCCUCAAAUAGGCAACCCAGGUCUCUCCUCUACCGGAGAGCACCACACCUGCUUACUCCGCCCUUCUUACCUGUCGGAGCUGUAGCACUCGCCUUCAACACCGAUUCCGAAAAUCAGGAAUAUCCAAGGUGCCUUUGAAAUCUAAAAGCAAUUCUGCUAUGAAACAAUUUUGCCUAUGAUAAAUAAGUAAGCAUCCGUGAGCAGGCAUCCAUCUACACAGGAAGACAGACAGAUUCAGUGUGAAUAGAAUGUUUAAUGGAGAAUGAUCUUCAGACUGUGAACAGGGAUUGGUGAGGAAUCUGAAACCCCAGGCACAUGAGGAGAUGUAAGAGAAUGCUUAUCUACCCUCAAACCCUGGACCCUGGACAAGCAGCCUCCCAGGAGCUGUGGAACCGGGGAGAUCUGAUUAUAUUCAUCACAAAUUCAUUGUGCUGGACUAACUUCAUUUCCUUAUGUAAAAAAUGCUUGUAGUUCAGGGGAGGUCCACAUGGAUCUAGCCAUGUGAUUUUUUGUUUAGAGAACUCCUGGCAUGGAGACUCUCUUAGCCCAUGCCACUGAUAGAUAGUGUGUUUCUUCACUGAAACCAAUUAUUUGACAAAGUCUUUCUUUUUAAUUUUUUAAAAAAUAAUUUAAUUUAGAAUAUUUUUCCAUGGUUACAUGAUUCAUGUUCUUUUCUUCCCCUGCCCCCUGCUCCUAAAGCCAAUGAACAAUUCAACUGGGUUUUACAUGUAUUAUUGAUCAAGACCCAUUUCCAUAUUAUUAAUAUUUGCAUAUCCCCAUUGAACCAUGUGAUCAAGCAGUUGUUUUUCUUCUGUGUUUCUACUCCCACAGUUCUUUCUCUGGGUGUGGAUAGCGUUCUUUCUUGUAAAUCUCUCCAAGUUGUUCGGGAUCACUGCAUUGCCACUAAUGGAGAAGUCCAUUACAUUCGAUUGUGUCACAGUGUCAGUUUCUGUGCACAACGUUCACCUGGUUCUGCUCCUUUCAUUCUGCAUCACUUCCUGGAGGUCAUUCCAGUUCCCAUGUAAUUCCUCCAAUUCAUUAUUCUUUUGAGCACAAUAGUAUUCCAUCACCAUCAGAUAUCACAAUUAGUGCAGCCAUUCCCCUGAUCAAAGGGCAGCCCCUCAUUUUCCAAUUUUGACAGAGUCUUUCAUGAUAUCCUUUUGGACAAGAUGAAGAGAUGUUAGGUUUGAGUUUAGUCACCUUGAUUUGGAAUUCACUGAAUGGCAAUAUUCCAAGAAUGGUGGGAAAUGGAUUGAUGACAAUCUGAAUGGAUGUAGGUCUCUUCAAGAGUCCCACGGAGAUAAUUAAAACAAAAAAAUAAAAAGAGUCCUUCAGAGAUUUGUCUUUGGCCCUGUUCUGUUCACAAUUUUUAUUUGUGACUUGGGUGAAGCAGUAGUUGGCAAACUACAAAAACAAAAUUUUACUGGAAGGUACAGAAAUAUAUUUAAAUUCUUAACAGAGUAGUAGAGAGGUGUCCAAAAUUGGGUCCAGGGAUGCUAAGGGGCUAAUUAUUAUAUAUGGUGUGUCCCGAACCACAAAAUAAAGUUCGUUGGGGAAAUAGAAAGUAGACAAUUGUUUGUUUCCCUAAAAUAUCUCAUAACUUCCUGGGCAAUAGGAAUAUAGUGCAGUUCUUCCUGGAUGCAAGAGACUCUUUUCUUCUGGAAUAUAUGGAAGGAGGAGAAAAAUGAUUUCCAGAGACAGUAAUCAUGAUGGGUUACUGGUAGUUUUUGUAUUGUAAAGUGGUCAUCAAAUUGUUGAUUCCUGUGGUGUUUAUGAGGCAUGGUCCUCUUGGAAUGGGAAGGAGGACUUUUCAUAGAGCAUCUAGCUUUUCCAGUACUAAUCUUGUCCUCUGAUGUAGCUAAGGGCAGUUGCAUCCUAGGAGUAGGGAGGGAUUUUCCAACAGAUGAAUGAAUCUGGAAGCCUAAACUGCUUCCUGCAGUGCUGUUAGGGUCUAUUCUGCCCCUUUGUAGUUUAUUUCCCUAGCAGGCCUGAGGCACAUUCCUCUCUGAGACUGUUUUGGGUGCCUUCUGGUCUUAAAGGUCUGGUGUUCCUUUGGACCCUGUAGGCUUCUCUGAUAGCCCUCAGCAGUCUUGUCCCAAGAGACUUUAGUUGCUGGGUUUGCAAGGAUCCCUACCCUACUUGUUCCUCUGUUUGGGACAAGGAGCAAGGUUCUGCUGGUUGAGCAGGAGAGGGGUCUUACCCAGCAUCCACUCCCACUAUUAUGCUGCUGUUGGAACUAUGAGGAGAAAACCCAAGAGCCAGUCUUCUCUAAUUUGUGGAUUACAGGAAGCUGUAGGUAAGAGGGCUAAUGGUGAUUAAAAGUAUCCAGAUCCAAAAAAGGAUCCUAGCAGAUGGGUCAUAAGUAACCGAACAGGGGAGGGAUUGUUACACAGGGCCAUAAGCUUUUGUCUCCAAAUCCUGCUUCUGAACCUGGGGAAGUCAGUUACCUCUCUUUUAGACCCAAUUUCCUCAUCUGUAAAAUGAGUCAUAGCUACCUCACAAGACUUUUGUAGCAAUCAAAUGGAAUGAUAAAUGCGAAACAUUUGAGAACUUUGAGAUACUGUAAAAAGGAACCUGAACUCUGAGUAACUGAAAAACCAGCAAUGGUCCAGAACAAACCAGAGCACCUCUUCCUCAUGACUGAAAGGCUAGGAAUAAUGAGGGCAUAUGGUUGGAUCCACUGUCAGUGUUAACUCUGUAUUAACUCUUUGUGUUUGUUUUUCACUGUAAAAAGGAGAGUUCAAAUUGGAGAAGGGGGGAAGAUGCUUUUGUUUUGUUUUGUUUUCCUCAAAGAUGACUUUGACAUAAGAACAAAAAAAUCAAUAAAACUUAUUUUUUAAAAGA
Molecule: long non-coding RNA, 3074 nt
Organism: Monodelphis domestica (gray short-tailed opossum)
Lineage: Eukaryota; Metazoa; Chordata; Mammalia; Didelphimorphia; Didelphidae
Source: RefSeq, a predicted model, not a curated record